This is a long non-coding RNA of Micropterus dolomieu (smallmouth bass), 1691 nucleotides long. RefSeq lists it as uncharacterized. The transcript is spliced from 3 exons. The record is from RefSeq and is a predicted model, not a curated record. Lineage: Eukaryota; Metazoa; Chordata; Actinopteri; Centrarchiformes; Centrarchidae.
GUGGAAGCAGAGCAAAAGUGUCGGGCAAGAUCAAGAGGAAGAAGUAGUUUUUCCUCCGGUGCUGCAGGUAGCUUGGGUCUACUCACUGUCAGACGCCUUAUCACCUAAGAAGGGCUCCUGCUCCAUCAUGUCCAUGGGGAUUUUAAUGCUGGGAACAUUCUCAUUGUAAGGAUAGUCAGACUGUUGGAGAGAGGAAACACACAUCCUGAGACCGGACUACUGGUGGUGUCGGGAAUACAAUAGCAGCCACAGUGGACUUGAGGACCCAGAGCAGAGCCAAGCAUAGGAUCUGGAUGAAGGUGAAGAGGUGAACCUUCCUGAGAGGAACGUGUCGCAGAAACUUCGGCUGCUCUCCGGGAGCCGAUGUUUCGGUUUCCAUCUUCAGACUGUCGAUGUGCGCAAUGGAGAUAACGGUGGCAGCCACGUACCAUGGCAGACCCAUGAAGGAGCAAAUCACCAUCAGAACGGCCACCCAGAACAGAUCCAGAUGGUAACCUGCUCCUUUCUGUUUCAGACAACAAACUCAAGGUUAAAGGUCAUGUAUGUGCAUGCUCAAGCAUAGACAGUAUGCAGAGCCCAGCUGCAGACACAGGGAAACCUAAAACCAGAAAAUAGCUCUUGUAGGGUUUGAUCAUAUAUUAUGUUGAGUAAUACAGUAGCAGAAUAGAACUAAAGUGCUCUGAAAUUAUUCUGCAGUUAUCUUUAAAGGGACAAGUCACACCGCAGAAACUUCAGCAGUGGCCCUGAACAUCUCAAGUAGUUGCUUUUUGAACUGAACUGUGUUCAGUCACUGCCAUGAAACAUCUCUCACUCCCAUGAGAAGAAUGACAACAAUAUUUAACUGCAGUGUGAAGGUAGCCAGUGUCCUGUACAAACUGAAGCUUGUUGUGGGAAACGCAUGGAAAUCCUCACUUCACAUAAAGCAAGUAAGACAAACAGAAAGAAAAGGAAAGAAACAAAAGGCCUCACUGUUUACACUGCAAUGAUAAUUUAAACACAAUGCAUUCUAUAAUAUGAAAAAUACAGAUUUCGUUGCAAAAUCUUGAACCUUUGGUUAUAUUCUGACUGUAUAUCAGAACAUGACCUGUAUUAUUGAAGUGACUCCCAACCCACCACUGCCUCUCACUCAUACAGUACAUCAACCCUGUGAACUCUGUAAAUAUUAAAACAACAACGACAUCUUGCAUUUUGAAGACUUAUAUAACCUGGGUGACAAAUGAACCUGCUUAGAAUACAUAUUUUAUCGCUGUAGUUUCUUCUCUACCUUCAGCUUGUGCUCCUUCCUGUUGACAAUCACAGCAGUAAUCUGCUGGUCCAUGAAGACCAGUAUGGUGACCAGCAGGGCAGGAAGGGCCGACACCAGGUAAACCCACCAGGGGUUUCCUCCGAACGGGGGAACAAACCAGCCCCGGUUUGGACUUGUUGGCUGUGAGGGAGGAAGACAGAAGCUCCAACAUGUCAGUCAACUAGAUAAAGUGGCAUUGACAGAAACUGUUAUGGAAAUAUGAUGUUUGCUUUUGACAUGUAGACAGGAGGAGCCGGGGAUUAAACCAACAACCCUACAUUUUAUUGGCAUUCCUUCUUCCACCUAAGCUAGGGUUGUAGCUUCCUGCCUUUAAAACCACUGGUUUCAGUUUGUUUCCCUAUGGUAUGGAUACUCCAGUGAUUAAAAUGUAAACCACCACAACCAA